UGGGGAAUUUUGGACAAUGGGCGAAAGCCUGAUCCAGCAAUGCCGCGUGUGUGAAGAAGGCCUUCGGGUUGUAAAGCACUUUUGUCCGGAAAGAAAUCCUUGGCUCUAAUACAGUCGGGGGAUGACGGUACCGGAAGAAUAAGCACCGGCUAACUACGUGCCAGCAGCCGCGGUAAUACGUAGGGUGCAAGCGUUAAUCGGAAUUACUGGGCGUAAAGCGUGCGCAGGCGGUUUGCUAAGACCGAUGUGAAAUCCCCGGGCUCAACCUGGGAACUGCAUUGGUGACUGGCAGGCUAGAGUAUGGCAGAGGGGGGUAGAAUUCCACGUGUAGCAGUGAAAUGCGUAGAGAUGUGGAGGAAUACCGAUGGCGAAGGCAGCCCCCAUGGGCCAAUACUGACGCUCAUGCACGAAAGCGUGGGGAGCAAACAGGAUUAGAUACCCUGGUAGUCCACGCCCUAAACGAUGUCAACUAGUUGUUGGGGAUUCAUUUCCUUAGUAACGUAGCUAACGCGUGAAGUUGACCGCCUGGGGAGUACGGUCGCAAGAUUAAAACUUAAAUGAAUUGACGGGGUCAUAGCUGUUUCCU
Molecule: ribosomal RNA, 586 nt
Filed under: uncultured bacterium
Lineage: Bacteria
Description: partial 16S ribosomal RNA
Rfam family: Bacterial small subunit ribosomal RNA
Source: RNAcentral